Molecule: ribosomal RNA, 294 nt
Filed under: uncultured eukaryote
Lineage: Eukaryota
Description: partial 18S ribosomal RNA
Rfam family: Eukaryotic small subunit ribosomal RNA
Source: RNAcentral
CCCUUUGAUACUCUGGGCGGCACGCGCGCUACAAUGGAUUACAAAACGUGUCACUUAACCGAAAGGUUUCGUUAAACACAAAUGUCAUGUCUUGAAUGGGAUAGUUUAUUGCAACUACAGACUUGAACUAGGAAUCCCUUGUAGGUAUACUUCAGCAUAGUGUACCGAAUACGUCCCUGCCGUUUGUACACACCGCCCGUCGUUUCUUCCGACUGAUACUCAUUGUGAAUUACGAGGAUAGGCAACUAAAGUCGUUGUGAAUGCUGAGUAUUGGAGGAAGAAAAAGUCGUAACA